Molecule: transfer RNA, 72 nt
Filed under: Alistipes sp.
Lineage: Bacteria; Pseudomonadati; Bacteroidota; Bacteroidia; Bacteroidales; Rikenellaceae
Description: tRNA-Gly
Rfam family: tRNA
About the family: Transfer RNA (tRNA) molecules are approximately 80 nucleotides in length. Their secondary structure includes four short double-helical elements and three loops (D, anti-codon, and T loops). Further hydrogen bonds mediate the characteristic L-shaped molecular structure. tRNAs have two regions of fundamental functional importance: the anti-codon, which is responsible for specific mRNA codon recognition, and the 3' end, to which the tRNAs corresponding amino acid is attached (by aminoacyl-tRNA synthetases). tRNAs cope with the degeneracy of the genetic code in two manners: having more than one tRNA (with a specific anti-codon) for a particular amino acid; and 'wobble' base-pairing, i.e. permitting non-standard base-pairing at the 3rd anti-codon position.
Source: RNAcentral
GCGGUAGUAGCGCAAUGGUAGCGCAUCAGUUUCCCAUACUGAGGGUUGCGAGUUCGAGCCUCGUCUACCGCU